RNAcentral lists this microRNA precursor (61 nucleotides) under Petromyzon marinus (sea lamprey). Its description in RNAcentral is "Pma-Mir-17-P3g_pre stem-loop". Lineage: Eukaryota; Metazoa; Chordata; Hyperoartia; Petromyzontiformes; Petromyzontidae. The record is from RNAcentral.
UAAAGUGCAGAUAGUGGUAGUUGGUCCUAAAAAUGACAGCUACUCUAUUUACACUUUAAAC